UACGAGACAGAAUAAUUCAUACCAAAAUCCUGGAUCGAGCAAAUGAUCUAGAGUAUCCUUCAGCAGCCUGAAUAGGCUGCCGUGUGGGCUACAACCAGACACUACAACAAGUAAACAAAUAACACUUGUGGCACUAACUGCCAAAGCCUGAACAUCUCAGGUUUUGAUACACACAGUUCAGACCGCUGAAUGGUCGCGGUUCAAGACGACACUUAUCCAGAUCACAUAUAAGGUCCUUCCCAAUUCUUCCCAAAAGCCCACAUUUAGGACGGAUCCAUCCGGCCACAAUUGAGGUCUAUGUUGCAGCAGUUUGAUUUACGGCCAAAUUUUUGUCAAGUCUUCUUGGAAGGGGUAACAAAAUGAUCCACUUCUCUAUUCAGUUCCUUCUAAAAUCUCAGCCCACACUAGCGAAU
Molecule: long non-coding RNA, 413 nt
Filed under: Hordeum vulgare
Lineage: Eukaryota; Viridiplantae; Streptophyta; Magnoliopsida; Poales; Poaceae
Description: long non-coding RNA (HVUL_LNC021511)
Source: RNAcentral